ACAAAAGCCCGUCUAGCUCAGUUGGUAGAGCGCAAGGCUCUUAACCUUGUGGUCGUGGGUUCGAUGAAAGGAAAAGAUACUUUGUUAAUUGUAUAUAAAUCUCUUCAGUAAUAACAACAAUUUAUUACAUAAAAUUGCAUGACAACAAAUUAUGCAGCAGCUAAAGAAACAAAAUUAGAAGUAAUGUUCUCUGAUAAAACAAAACUAAUAAUGUAAAGAAAUGUUUAAUUAUAUAUAAUAGGUAGACAUUGUCUCAAGACUGAUG
This 265-nucleotide long non-coding RNA is filed under the name Medicago truncatula (barrel medic). Its description in RNAcentral is "lncRNA gene24565". The stretch from base 7 to 61 matches the Rfam family "tRNA". Lineage: Eukaryota; Viridiplantae; Streptophyta; Magnoliopsida; Fabales; Fabaceae. The record is from RNAcentral.